UGAACUAGACUUAAAUUCCUUCUUAAAUUCCUUGAAGCCGUCCAAUUUCACAAUUCCAAUUGUAUUGAAAAUAAAUUCCCUUCUUAAAUUCCCUUCUUAAAUUCCUUGAAGCCGUCCAAUUGUAUUCUCAUAAUUCUCAAUAUAAUUCUCACAAUUCGUCAACAGCUCAGUCUAUCAAGGCGGCUCUCCCAAUUCAAUUCGUCACCGCCUAUCGGAAACCUCCUCCCCCAAUUCUCACCGCCUCCCCCAAUUCUCGUCUGCAAUAGGUGAUUCAUCUCUGCUCGAGGACGCUUCAUUUCCAGCUCAAGACAAAUUUUCCAGCGGUUUUUCCUCUCACUGACUUCGUUUUCCUCUCAAUUGAGAUCGAGGUGAAUAUCUUCAUUCCUUUGUUCAAUUACUCUUUCGAUUAUGCUAAUUGGUUAGAGAUUUAGAGCUGUAGUGUUCUCCCCUCAAUUUUAGCAAUGGCUUUUGAGUGUUUGAUUUUGAUUAGGAAAUGAAUAUUUUUAGGAAUGAAAUCAGAUUCAGGUGAUUACUUGUAUAGAAUGUUGAUUAUACCGUUGGUUGAAUUAGUAAUAAGAGAAAAUGAGAAUUUUGUAGAUUCGAUUUUACCCUAAUUCGAUUAAAAAUUAGGAACAGAUGUAGAACACAUUCGUGCCAUCUUCCAUGUGUUUGUUAAAAUGUUCAAACAGAUCUUUCUAUGAUUAGGAUUCAAUAAUGGCCAGACUUAAUUAGCAGUGUUUGAUUACCAGAAUGUUAUCUAUAGAGCUUAAUCAAACAAUUUCUGGACAAAUGCACUUAUCUAUAGAUCAUCAUUAUUUUAGCAUUGGAGUAUAAUUGAAAAGAAAUACUCAUUUCUAUGGUACAAUAGAAACAUCGUAAUGACUUACCUCAUCUUCCUCUUCUUUAUCUUUUGCUAUUUUAUCUGGCGAAUUUGCAUCUUGUGCUGGUAUGGGCAAGGGUCUUGGAAGAGAUUUCACAUUAUCCAGAUACUGUGGGUGCUAAAUUGAAGGGAACUGCAGGAGGUAUAAUGUUUCUUUCAAAUUGAUGAAUCAAUUUGCCUGAUUUGUAUUUAUUCUAGGCAAAGAGUGUUAGUGAUUAUCUUCUGAUAGGAUUUGUAAGGUGGUUGUGAGUUUGGUUGCUUUGAAUUUUACAUAGUAAAAUGGAGAAGUGACAUGGGAAGAGGCACAAAAGUGAUACAAUGGUUUCUGAAUUCUGAUGGAUUGCGUACAUGCUAUCUAGUUACUGAUAAGGAAAAUCUGCAUAACUUAUGUUUAUGCUUGAACUUAUAGUUAAAUGCCUAGAGGAGUUCUGUUUCUAUUCUCGGCCAUGAAUCCCGGCCAUGAAUCCCGCAUAGUUGCCAAAAUCUAAGGUACUUUUCUAUUCCGGUUUGUCUCCCAGUGCAUAACUUGCAUAUUUAUCAUAACCUGAUGAUACUAAUUUUUUCAUAACUAGUUUAGGAAUGGACAGGAACAAUUCUUGCUUCCAACAGUUGUAUUACGUUCGUUCUUUUAUGGUGUCAUGGUUAUUUUUAAAAAUGACCUUGUUGCUUGCUAUUCGCUUGCUUGCUGUUUCGACAUUUUGCAGUGUGACACAUCUCAGAGUGUUCCACAAAUCUUAAUGUAUCUGCAAAGUUGCAACUAAAGUUGAUAAUAUUGGAGCUUUCAUUCAUGAACAUCAUUUUAUUCAUUCAUCAAAAUGUCAUUUAACAUGUAGAAUAGCACCAAGAAUUUGAAAAUAGAGAAAAUAUUAUAUACUGUUUGAACUUAUAGUUAAAUGCCUAGAGGAGGAUUUACCGGACGACUUAGAGAAGCCUCAUCCCGUGGCACUCAGCUUAAGGAACUAGAGCACGUUCCUCCCGAGCUAGAGAAUAUCUUCACACUUUUUGACGUUCCAGUUUCAGUUGUUUACAUUUUUAAUUAUUGUUAAAUUUUUAUUAAAAUUGUUUGCAGGCUAAAGAGAACCAUUGAAAUUUCCCUCCAUUUUGGGACCUAUUUCUCAAGACUCAUAGGCUAAAGGACUCAUACGAGUUAUGUUCACAACAAGCCAAAGAAAUUGAGAAGAUUAAGAGCUCUGAAUAUAUGCGUCCAUGUUCUACCAGCUCAGCUGUGGGCUCUGCAUCUUCUGGCUCGUCUCUCUCUCUCUCUCUCUCUCUCUCCUGGUUUUGUAACUUUCAAUAUUUGGAAUUAAAUCUCUCUCUCUCUCCUCUCUUCUCGUUAAAAUAUUUAACUAGUACUUUUUUCUCUCUAUUUAUGUCAUCUAGCUCCUUCUAAAAUUCCGUGCCAGUUAAGAAUGCGAAGGAAUCACAAUUUUGAACAAGGAUGGGAUCGGGUAGACAACUGUACAAUCAUCGCUAGCCAAUUCGAGCUUCGUGCAUGGGUAUGCCUUCCUAGUAACAAACAGGUACUUAUGGAACUGAUACAACAGACGGUGGAAUGAUGCGACGGAAGUAACUUGGAAGAGACAACCCAAAUCUCCUAUGGAUGCUUUGGCAGCACCUGCAAGUGAUUUCAUAUACCUUGAAAGGUCUUGUGGGUGUAGUGUUGGGAGUGAGUGACCUAAUCAUAAGCGCAACUGAUAUAGAGAGUGGGCAAGGUUACUCAUACGAGUACAACAAGACCCCGAUGGACGGAGACCAUACAAGAUAUAGAGGAAGUGCCAACGAGCAUUGAUGCUCCGCCGGACUGCGAUACUGUUGAAAGAGGUCGCCCAACUGCGACGGCCAUCAAGUCGCCACGACCCAAGCGGCAAGGUCGACCCCCAGUCAAGUAUAGUGAGUUUGUCCCUCGUUGAAUAGGAUUAGUUCAUAUUUUAAUAUUAAUUUAUUUUAGUUUCCUUUUUGAAUUAGGAUAAUUAUCUUAGUUAUUUCCUUUUUGAAUUAGGAUUAUUUUGAACAUUAUAAAUAGGCGCAUAAGCUCUUUUUUUUAAUAAGAUAUAUCAGAUUUUCGUUUA
Molecule: long non-coding RNA, 2949 nt
Organism: Salvia splendens (bonfire salvia)
Lineage: Eukaryota; Viridiplantae; Streptophyta; Magnoliopsida; Lamiales; Lamiaceae
Exons: 2
Source: RefSeq, a predicted model, not a curated record